GUGUUUACAGCAUACAGAUCCAUUUUUCUGGCACGAAGACAUGAGCAUGGGAUAAUGGAAAGGACCCUGUCCUCUAUUUUCAAUGUGUUUAGCAGCGGUGGACUAGGGUAAUGUUAAUAGGGAAGGGGGGGCAUUAAUAUUUAUUUCUUAAAUUUGAAUUUGAGGAUUAUGACAGAUAACUGAGAAAGCAUUGCCAAGGAUUUUUUAUUACUCAAGUAGACAUUUAGGGGUGAAGAUAUCAGAUCCGUAGUAGUUUAACCAUAAACGAUGCCGACCAGCGUCAGGAGACGUUGAAUACUUAUCGGCCCCAUCGGCGCGGUCGUCCUUGCGUCGGUCCUUCGGGCCGGCGCGAGGGCGGCUGCCCCUGGACACCA
Molecule: ribosomal RNA, 374 nt
Filed under: Acanthamoeba sp.
Lineage: Eukaryota; Discosea; Longamoebia; Acanthamoebidae
Description: SSU rRNA
Source: RNAcentral